UGCGGGGUCGGCUAACGGUAGGCCGCGACGCUCUGGACGUCGUUAUCCUGGUUCGAAUCCAGGCCCCGCAG
This 71-nucleotide transfer RNA is filed under the name Candidatus Uhrbacteria bacterium. RNAcentral describes it as "tRNA-Gln". It matches the Rfam family "tRNA". Rfam says of the family: Transfer RNA (tRNA) molecules are approximately 80 nucleotides in length. Their secondary structure includes four short double-helical elements and three loops (D, anti-codon, and T loops). The record is from RNAcentral. Lineage: Bacteria; Candidatus Uhriibacteriota.